CAUUGCACCUCGCUGUCCGUCAUAAGCCUGCUUGAUACUUCCCUAUUCCGGCAGCUCCUUCUGGUGUCCUCACCCUGUCUCUGGUGACAGGAGCGACGUCUGCCGCAACACGAGAAACCCAGCAGCCAGCGCAUUUCUUUUUCUCCUCUCGAUUCCAUAGAAGAGCAGUUGGAAAAGGCAGGAGGUUUGCUUUAGAUUCAGAGAAGGUUGAGGGAGAAUCUAAAGAAGAGGCAGAAGAAAACAAGGCCAAAGUCCGAUAUCUUUGGGUUCAUGUCAAUAUCCAACAAGAUGUUACUAGCUUUGAGAUCUCUAUGGAUAAUUCUUAGUCGUGAAUCUUGGUGCAAAUACAAUAGCCCUCUGGCAAUUCCAUUGAUAAUGUCGAAGCGUUUCGUCCAAUCAAGUACCACCCUAAUGUCAAUCAAAUCACCGAACCAAAGCAAACAACCAUGUUCUCCAUUGCUUAUAUUUAAACUCGAAUAAGCUGUACAGUUGCAAUUCUUCAAGCAAACCUGCUCACACUCUUGAAGGUUCAUACUGCUGUUGAACCACGACAACUUUGUAUCUGGAAAUUUAAGACCAUUAUAUUUCAAGAAUC
Ipomoea triloba (trilobed morning glory) is the source of this 595-nucleotide long non-coding RNA. RefSeq lists it as uncharacterized. The record is from RefSeq and is a predicted model, not a curated record. Lineage: Eukaryota; Viridiplantae; Streptophyta; Magnoliopsida; Solanales; Convolvulaceae. The transcript is spliced from 4 exons.